CUACGGAGGGUGCAAGCGUUAUUCGGAAUCACUGGGCGUAAAGCGCGCGCAGGCGGCUAUUUAAGUUGGAUGUGAAAGCCUACGGCUCAACCGUAGAACUGCAUCCAAAACUAUUUAGCUAGAGUGUGGGAGAGGAAGAUGGAAUUAGUUGUGUAGGGGUAAAAUCCGUAGAGAUAACUAGGAAUACCAAAAGCGAAGGCAAUCUUCUGGAACACUACUGACGCUGAGGCGCGAAAGCGUGGGUAGCAAACAGGAUUAGAAACCCUAGUAGUCC
RNAcentral lists this ribosomal RNA (274 nucleotides) under uncultured bacterium. RNAcentral describes it as "partial 16S ribosomal RNA". It matches the Rfam family "Bacterial small subunit ribosomal RNA", at positions 523 to 796 of the family's 1533-position model. The record is from RNAcentral.